UAACGCGAGGAACCUUACCAGGUCUUGACAUCUUUUGAUAACCUAAGAGAUUAGGUGUUCCCUUCGGGGACAGAAUGACAGGUGGUGCAUGGUUGUCGUCAGCUCGUGUCGUGAGAUGUUGGGUUAAGUCCCGCAACGAGCGCAACCCUUAUUGUCAGUUGCCAGCAUUAAGUUGGGCACUCUGGCAAGACUGCCGGUGACAAACCGGAGGAAGGUGGGGAUGACGUCAAAUCAUCAUGCCCCUUAUGACCUGGGCUACACACGUGCUACAAUGGACGAUACAACGAGUCGCUAGACCGCGAGGUUAAGCUAAUCUCUGAAAGUCGUUCUCAGUUCGGAUUGCAGGCUGCAACUCGCCUGCAUGAAGUCGGAAUCGCUAGUAAUCGCGGAUCAGC
This 395-nucleotide ribosomal RNA is filed under the name uncultured bacterium. RNAcentral's name for it is "bacterial SSU rRNA". It matches the Rfam family "Bacterial small subunit ribosomal RNA", at positions 957 to 1353 of the family's 1533-position model. The record is from RNAcentral.